Molecule: ribosomal RNA, 423 nt
Filed under: uncultured bacterium
Lineage: Bacteria
Description: bacterial SSU rRNA
Rfam family: Bacterial small subunit ribosomal RNA
Source: RNAcentral
AGGAAUAUUGGUCAAUGGGCGGGAGCCUGAACCAGCCAAGUCGCGUGAGGGAGUAAGGCCCUACGGGUCGUAAACCUCUUUUGCCGGGGAGCAGGGCGGCGGACGUGUCCGCCGUUUGAGAGUACCCGGAGAAAAAGCAUCGGCUAACUCCGUGCCAGCAGCCGCGGUAAUACGGAGGAUGCGAGCGUUAUCCGGAUUUAUUGGGUUUAAAGGGUGCGUAGGCGGGCUUUUAAGUCAGCGGUAAAAAUUCGGGGCUCAACCCCGUCCGGCCGUUGAAACUGGGGGCCUUGAGUGGGCGAGAAGAAGGCGGAAUGCGUGGUGUAGCGGUGAAAUGCUUAGAUAUCACGAAGAACUCCGAUUGCGAAGGCAGCUCACUGGACUGUUAACUGACACUGAGGCUCGAAAGUGUGGGUAUCAAACAGG